This 512-nucleotide ribosomal RNA is filed under the name uncultured bacterium. RNAcentral describes it as "partial 16S ribosomal RNA". It matches the Rfam family "Bacterial small subunit ribosomal RNA", at positions 28 to 506 of the family's 1533-position model. The record is from RNAcentral.
GACGAACGCUGGCGGCGUGCUUAACACAUGCAAGUCGAACGAAAAGAGGGAAAGAGCUUGCUCUUUCCGGAAUUGAGUGGCAAACGGGUGAGUAACACGUAAACAACCUGCCUUCAGGAUGGGGACAACAGACGGAAACGACUGCUAAUACCGAAUAAGUUCCAAGGGCCGCAUGGCCCAUGGAAGAAAAGGUGGCCUCUACCUGUAAGCUAUCGCCUGAAGAGGGGUUUGCGUCUGAUUAGCUGGUUGGUGGGGUAACGGCCCACCAAGGCGACGAUCAGUAGCCGGUCUGAGAGGAUGAACGGCCACACUGGAAGUGAGACACGGUCCAGACUCCUACGGGAGGCAGCAGUGGGGAAUCUUCCGCGAUGGGCGAAAGCCUGACGGAGCAACGCCGCGUGAGUGAUGACGGCCUUCGGGUUGUAAAACUCUGUGAUCCGGGACGAAAAGGCAGAGUGCGAAGAACAAACUGCAUUGACGGUACCGGAAAAGCAAGCCACGGCUAACUACGU